This 538-nucleotide ribosomal RNA is filed under the name Kluyveromyces marxianus. Its description in RNAcentral is "partial large subunit ribosomal RNA". It matches the Rfam family "Eukaryotic large subunit ribosomal RNA", at positions 73 to 655 of the family's 3401-position model. Lineage: Eukaryota; Fungi; Ascomycota; Saccharomycetes; Saccharomycetales; Saccharomycetaceae. The record is from RNAcentral.
AUGCCUUAGUACGGCGAGUGAAGCGGCAAAAGCUCAAAUUUGAAAUCUGGCGUCUUCGACGUCCGAGUUGUAAUUUGAAGAAGGCAACUUUGUAGCUGGUCCUUGUCUAUGUUCCUUGGAACAGGACGUCAUAGAGGGUGAGAAUCCCGUGUGGCGAGGAUCCCAGUUAUUUGUAAAGUGCUUUCGACGAGUCGAGUUGUUUGGGAAUGCAGCUCUAAGUGGGUGGUAAAUUCCAUCUAAAGCUAAAUAUUGGCGAGAGACCGAUAGCGAACAAGUACAGUGAUGGAAAGAUGAAAAGAACUUUGAAAAGAGAGUGAAAAAGUACGUGAAAUUGUUGAAAGGGAAGGGCAUUUGAUCAGACAUGGCGUUUGCUUCGGCUUUCGCUGGGCCAGCAUCAGUUUUAGCGGUUGGAUAAAUCCUCGGGAAUGUGGCUCUGCUUCGGUAGAGUGUUAUAGCCCGUGGGAAUACAGCCAGCUGGGACUGAGGAUUGCGACUUUUGUCAAGGAUGCUGGCGUAAUGGUUAAAUGCCGUCCGUUUC